Long non-coding RNA from Oncorhynchus nerka (sockeye salmon), 274 nucleotides. RefSeq lists it as uncharacterized. The record is from RefSeq and is a predicted model, not a curated record. Lineage: Eukaryota; Metazoa; Chordata; Actinopteri; Salmoniformes; Salmonidae. The transcript is spliced from 3 exons.
GCAUCGUCAGAACGGAGCCCGGCCAAUUGGAAGGCCCGUCUGUGGCGUGUGACGGAGAGGACAUAGAACACCUGCUGGCGGACGAGCCAAUCACUCCCAAGGCUAAGCGUCUGAGGCAGGAUGUGGCCAAGAAGCUGUUUGAGGUGUCUCAGGUUGAUGACAUCACCCCCCCGUCGUCUCCAGAGGAGUUUCAUCGAACCCCGAGCAGCAGACCCCAGCUAAUCCCGGUGAUCUUGGACAUCAGUGGCUUCGCAGCCAUCCAGGAGUCUCCUCG